GCCCCCGUAGCUCAGCGGAUAGAGCAGCGGUUUCCGGGACCGCAGGCCGGCCGUUCGAAUCGGUCCGGGGGCG
This 73-nucleotide transfer RNA is filed under the name Micromonospora sp. NBC_00389. Its description in RNAcentral is "tRNA-Arg". It matches the Rfam family "tRNA". From Rfam's summary of the family: Transfer RNA (tRNA) molecules are approximately 80 nucleotides in length. The record is from RNAcentral. RNAcentral also lists the same sequence under 5 other names. Lineage: Bacteria; Bacillati; Actinomycetota; Actinomycetes; Micromonosporales; Micromonosporaceae.